GACGUAGGGCGCGAGCGUUGUCCGGAUUUAUUGGGCGUAAAGAGCUACGUAGGCGGUUUGUCGCGGUCUGCUGUGAAAACCUAAGGCUCAACCUUGGGCUUGCAGUGGGUACGGGCAGACUAGAGUGCGGUAGGGGUGACUGGGAAUUCCUGGGUGUAGCGGUGGAAUGACGCAGAGUAUCAGGAGGAACACCGAUGGCGAAGGCAGGGUCACUGGGCCGCAACUGACGCUGAGGAGCGAAAGCAUGGGGAGCGAACAGGAUUAGACU
RNAcentral lists this ribosomal RNA (268 nucleotides) under uncultured bacterium. RNAcentral's name for it is "partial 16S ribosomal RNA". It matches the Rfam family "Bacterial small subunit ribosomal RNA", at positions 524 to 784 of the family's 1533-position model. The record is from RNAcentral.